This is a long non-coding RNA of Xenopus tropicalis (tropical clawed frog), 309 nucleotides long. RefSeq lists it as uncharacterized. The record is from RefSeq and is a predicted model, not a curated record. The transcript has 5 exons. NCBI's taxonomy places the organism in Eukaryota, Metazoa, Chordata, Amphibia, Anura, Pipidae.
CUAUAUAAAUAAUAAAAUAUAAAUAAAAGCAACCAAUCGGAUUACUACCGUUUGCACCAAUGAUGUUUCUCUCUCUCCGCAGAAAGAAUGGCAGCGAAAAUGGCGAGGCGCAUACUUCGAAAAGUAUUUUGUUGCCUCCCACUUUUUAGAAAAAAACGAAUUGUGAAAGAUAAAGAAGUUGUUAUUCUGGUUCAACCAGAAGAACAACAACAUCAACCCACUGAAACCAUCUGCGAGCAACCAGUUCCACCUACUGGGAAUGUUGUCUCUCAAGACAACCCGGAGCAGAUUGUGGGGCUUGGAGAUAAC